UAUAUGUGAGGUAUUGAUUUUAUGGGUCCAUUUCCUUCUUCUUUUGGCUUUGUUUAUAUAUUACUUGCUGUUGAUUAUGUUUCGAAAUGGGUGGAAGCCAAAGCCACUAGGACUGAUGAUUCUAAAGCUGUCAUAGGUUUUAUCAAGUCAAACAUUUUUAGCAGGUUUGGAGUUCCUAGAGCUUUAAUCAGUGACCGAGGCACACAUUUUUGUAAUAGAACUGUUGAGGCAUUGUUGAGGAGAUAUGGUGUUUUCCAUAGAGUAUCUACAGCUUAUCAUCCUCAAACAAGUGGGCAAGCAGAGGUGUCUAACAGAGAGAUCAAGUCUAUUUUGGAAAAAACAGUGAAGCCAAAUAGAAAAGAUUGGAGCUGUAGACUUGAUGAUGCUUUGUGGGCUUACAGGACUGCUUAUAAGACACCCAUAGGUAUGUCCCCCUACAGAUUGGUAUUUGGUAAGUUGUGUCACCUUCUUGUUGAGUGAGAACAUAAGGCUUAUUGGGCUGUUAGACAUUGUAAAUUGGAUUUGGAUACUGCUGGUGUGGAAAGAAAAUUACAAUUGCAGGAAUUAGAGGAAAUUCGACUUGAGGCUUAUGAGAACUCUAAGAUCUCUAAAGAAAAGACCAAGGCAUUCCAUGACAAACUAAUUUUAAGGAAGCAGUUUGUGAUUAGACAAAAAGUUUUAUUGUAUAAUUCCAUAUUGAAACUUAUGCUUGGUAAGUUGCAUUCUCAUUGGAUUGGACCCUUUGUUGUUACUAAUGUGUUUCCUUAUGGUGCAGUUGAUUCAAAGUUUAGGAACUAACAAAGUGUUCAAGUUCAACGGUCAUAGACUCAACCCAUUUUAUGAGGAGUUUCAGGAACAUUCAGUGGAGGAGCUCAAAUUGAGUAACCCAAUUUAUGUGGAUUAAGGAGCUUUGCCAUGUCAAGCUAACGACAAUAAAUAAAAGUGCUUCCUGGGAGGCAACCCGUGGGUGGCUUGUUAGCCAUAAUCAGAUUUAUUUUCUUUUCCUUAUUUUAUUUUAUUUGAUCAGAUUUAUUGGUCUGAGUUUAAUGAAAAGUGUUGGAAUGAACAAUUAUCGGGGCCACUGCUGCUGUUGUAAAACUAGCUAGGUUUCUUGCUUUUUGGGUCUUGUGCUUAUUAUGGGUCCCAUGGCAUUUAGACCACACUCAUCAUUUGCCUACCAAUUUUCUUGUUGGUAAAUUGAAAUAAUUGUUAAGCGCCUAGUAAGAAUUGAACUUGAACUCUUAAUGGUGAUCUUCAUUUUUUUUUUCCUUGGGGAUUCUAGAGCAAUUAUUUCUUUAUAUGGACUUCUCCUCUAGGAUAUUCUUUGAACAAUGAUAUUUUCAGGCAUAUGCUGUGUGUGUCUCUAGGAGCCUUGACUGUGAAAUAACUUAAGAGCUUGGAGAUACGAAUAGAGCAGAAUCUGUAGAAUUUGGUACAAAAAGAGAUCGAGUGUAUGCAGAAAAGGGAAAUUGAUUUGUACAACAAUAACCAGAUUCUCCGAGCAAAGGUUGAUCUCUCUCUCUCUCUCCCCUUUAUCAUCAUUUGCUUUUAUGGGGCAAGUGGUUGAAUGGCUAUUAAUUAAAUGGGUUCUCGCAAAUGCUGAGAAGGAAAGGAAGUAACAGAAUAUGAAUUUGAUGCCAGGAGGCAACUAUGGUAUCAUGC
Molecule: long non-coding RNA, 1662 nt
Organism: Hevea brasiliensis (rubber tree)
Lineage: Eukaryota; Viridiplantae; Streptophyta; Magnoliopsida; Malpighiales; Euphorbiaceae
Exons: 3
Source: RefSeq, a predicted model, not a curated record